Molecule: ribosomal RNA, 354 nt
Filed under: Triticum aestivum (bread wheat)
Lineage: Eukaryota; Viridiplantae; Streptophyta; Magnoliopsida; Poales; Poaceae
Description: partial small subunit ribosomal RNA
Source: RNAcentral
AUGGCGGCGGGGGGAACUGCGAACGGCGGCGCCCGGCACUACAGCCGCAGCGACAGAAGCUACAACCUGUGGCGCGUGGAGCUGCAACCGUGGCGGUCGGCGACUGGGAGCUACAACGCCGACGAUGCUGGAACCGGCCAGUUUUUUUGCUGGAACGGGCGACAGGAGGUGCUACAACAGUGGCAGCAAAAUGUUGGAACCAACAGCCACGGCCUCCAGCAGAUGAGGAACCGGCUUUUUAAAAAGCUUCAACCAUGUACUGGGAAGCUGCAACCGCAUGCACAAGAGCUGCAAGCCAUCUACACCAGAGCUACAACCGGAGGCGCCCGUCGCCGGCGAGGCUGCAAGGACUAG